UGGGGAAUCUUGGACAAUGGGCGCAAGCCUGAUCCAGCCAUGCCGCGUGAGGGAUGAAGUAUUUCGGUAUGUAAACUUCGUAAGAAUAGGAAGAAUAAAUGACGGUACUAUUUGUAAGGUCCGGCUAACUACGUGCCAGCAGCCGCGGUAAUACGUAGGGACCAAGCGUUGUUCGGAUUUACUGGGCGUAAAGGGCGCGUAGGCGGUUUGUCAAGUCAGUUGUGAAAUCUCCGAGCUUAACUCGGAACGGUCAACUGAUACUGUCAAACUAGAGUACAGAAGGGGCAAUCGGAAUUCUUGGUGUAGCGGUGAAAUGCGUAGAUAUCAAAAGGAACACCUGAGGCGAAGGCGGGUUGCUGGGCUGAUACUGACGCUGAAGCGCGAAAGCUAGGGUAGCAAACGGGAUUAGAUACCCAGGUAGUCCCUGAGCGGGCUGGCAAGGCGCAU
RNAcentral lists this ribosomal RNA (447 nucleotides) under uncultured bacterium. RNAcentral describes it as "bacterial SSU rRNA". It matches the Rfam family "Bacterial small subunit ribosomal RNA", at positions 355 to 825 of the family's 1533-position model. The record is from RNAcentral.